This 814-nucleotide ribosomal RNA is filed under the name uncultured bacterium. Its description in RNAcentral is "bacterial SSU rRNA". It matches the Rfam family "Bacterial small subunit ribosomal RNA", at positions 98 to 926 of the family's 1533-position model. The record is from RNAcentral.
GCGGACGGGUGAGUAACACAUGGGUACCUACCUUGAGGUGAGGAAUACCACCGAGAAAUCGGUGACAAGACCGCAUACGCUCUCUUUCACUAGAGAGAGAACAAAGUUUUGCGCAAGCAAGACGCCACGAGAUGGGCCUGUGCCUGAUUAGCUAGUUGGUGGGGUAAAAGCCUACCAAGGCCACGAUCAGUAGCUGGUCUGAGAGGAUGAUCAGCCACACUGGGAUUGAGAACGGCCCAGACUCCUACGGGGGGCAGCAGUGAGGAAUUUUCGUCAAUGGGGGCAACCCUGAACGAGCAACGCCGCGUGCAGGAUGACACUUUUCGGAGCGUAAACUGCUUUUCUCGGGGAAGAGAACGGACGGUACCCGAGGAACAAGCCCCGGCUAACUACGUGCCAGCAGCCGCGGUAAUACGUAGGGGGCAAGCGUUGUCCGGAGUUACUGGGCGUAAAGGGCCCGCAGGCGGUCGGGCAAGUUCAGACUGACAAUCCCCAGCUUCACUGGGGAGGGUGUAUGAAAACUGCGUGACUUGAGGGACAGAGAGGGACAUGGAAUUCCGGGUGAGUGGUGAAAUGCGUAGAUAUCCGGAGGAACACCAAAGGCGAAGGCAAUGUCCUGGCUGUUACCUGACGCUCAGGGGCGAAAGCUAGGGGAGCGAACGGGAUUAGAUACCCCGGUAGCCCUAGCUGUAAACGAUGACCACUAGACGUUCGGGGUAUCGACCCCCUGAGUGUCGUAGCUAACGCGAGAAGUGGUCCGCCUGGGGAGUACGGUCGCAAGAUUAAAACUCAAGGAAUUGACGGGGACCCGCAC